ACAAAGAACAUCUGGGGGGAGAGUGCAAAAUAAUUUCACUUUACUCUUAACUUUCUGGUAAUAAAAUUGACUUUGCACCUUGGUAUUCGUUGUUGCAAAUUAGAGUGCAUUAUUUGUUUAUUGCAUUAUGCGCUUCCGUAUGCAACUAUGUCUGCACUGUUAUAUUUUUUAUAUUAUCCUAAAUUUGUACAGCCCUUUACUGUUAGUUAGACUUGUACACAACUAUUCAAGACUUAUGAUCCCUAUAUGUUGAAUGUAUGCACCUUCCUGCUAAAGUAAAUUCUUUGUCUGUGCAAACUUUAAUGGCGAUUUAACCCCUUUCUGACUCUCAUGUGUGUAAUUUAUCAAUAACGCAAGUAGAUGGCUGUGUUGGAUCAAUAUGUGCGCACACACUCUAAGAAGUCCUUGCUUGAGAGGUGGGGAAAGAGGGCUCUGAGAGAGUACUGCAUGUUUCCCUGUACAGCAGCGCCGCAGAGUCAGAUCAACCAGAGCUUCGGACGGAGGUGAAGAUACCCGCACAUCCUCUCGCAUACAUAACAUCUUGGAGACUGGACUAAAACUGCAAUCUGACAGCAUUUUAUUUACAGAGUAGGCAAAGUAGCAUCUCCUCAGAACAUUGGGUGAGAUUUUUUUUUAAUCUUUAGGGAGCACCUUAACAGGGCAUUUAGUCUGUUUUGUUGUGCAGUGUGUGUACAUAACUGCAUUAUUGUUUAAGGCAUUGUCUUUGAACACUUGAACUGUCUUAAAAGCUUCUCAGGAGAUACAUUCAACAAGGUGGCUUCUGACACCCCCAGUGACUUAGUUUUUCAUCAGUCUUGUAGUAUACCUAGUACUUUCCUGUUGGAAGAUGUGCACAGUUCAUUUGUGGUUGCUGAAAACCUCCCCCAAACGGUUCUGUGCCCUGGCAGGUGAGUUAAGAACAUUUAUAGAAGUUUUUGAAAGCAUUCUCAAAGUAUAUUGUAAUCCCUAAUGUAUUGCGUUUGUUUUUUUAGCUGCGUUAGUCUUCGGGAUCAUCCGUUUUGCUGAUGGCAAGGAAUUAGACAUAAAUACAACUGUUCAGCAGAGCUUCACCUGCAUCACCUGUAAGGAAUGAUGAAGCCAGAUUACUGAAAUGUGGUGCAAAGACGAGAAGAUCUGGAGUCAGAAGAAAGGAAUGAGAAACUGCGACGAUGGCAUUGUCCAGACUGGUGUGCCAUGCCAUCAGGAUGGUCGAGUGUACCUUCUUAUCGAUGGUCAUUCAGGGUGCAGCAGUAUUGACAUGGAAGGAAAGAAUGGCUACAUUCAUUCUGUCAAGACAGAGUGCCCACAAUCUCAAACACUUCCACCAACCAACCCGCCAUCCUCUGACCCAAAAGCAGGCAUCACCAACAGAGCCAUCAUUUUUGAUAAUGUCAUUGGUGGAGUUACUUUUCUUUGCCUGGUUGGAUGCAACCUACUACUGAAUUAAACAGACCAUCAAUGGACCCAGCAAAGAGUUCCUCCAAACUUUUCGAAGGCAACCCUCUUGUCCUCGGUGGACCCGUGUGUGUUCGACGGCUGAAGGCACACCCCUAGAACCGGCUACAGACCCAGCCCAAACCCGAAUGUCAUUGUCUUCACCUGUGUCUCAUUGAGUGGUUUCUGUUCUUGUUAGUCUCAUCGUGUUCACCUGUGUAUAAAUCCACUUACCUGUGUCUUUUUUGGUUCUGUGUAUU
Long non-coding RNA from Hypomesus transpacificus, 1694 nucleotides. RefSeq lists it as uncharacterized. NCBI's taxonomy places the organism in Eukaryota, Metazoa, Chordata, Actinopteri, Osmeriformes, Osmeridae. The transcript has 5 exons. The record is from RefSeq and is a predicted model, not a curated record.